GAGCAGGCGAGGCUGGGCUGAA
RNAcentral lists this microRNA (22 nucleotides) under Homo sapiens (human). RNAcentral describes it as "hsa-miR-4690-5p". The record is from miRBase by way of RNAcentral. Lineage: Eukaryota; Metazoa; Chordata; Mammalia; Primates; Hominidae.